GAUGAAGAACGCAGCGAAAUGCGAUACUUGGUGUGAAUUGCAGAAUCCCGCGAAUCAUCGAGUUUUUGAACGCAAGUUGCGCCCGAAGCCAUUCGGCCGAGGGCACGUCUGCCUGGGUGUCACGCAUCGUUGCCCCCCCAAACUCCGGUUCGGGCGGGGCGGAAGUUGGCCUCCCGUGCGUGCCGGCGCGCGCGGUUAGCCCAAAAGCGAGUCCUCGGCGAUGAGCGCCACGACAAUCGGUGGUUUUUUUACCCUCGUUCCUCGUCGUGCGUGCCCCGUCGCCCGAACGCGCUCUUGCAACCCUUACGCGUCGCCUCGGUGGCGCUCCCAACGCGACCCCAGGUCAGGCGGGACUACCCGCUGAGUUUAAGCAUAUCAAUAAGCGGAGGA
This 390-nucleotide unclassified non-coding RNA is filed under the name soil metagenome. RNAcentral's name for it is "partial contains 5.8S ribosomal RNA, internal transcribed spacer 2, and large subunit ribosomal RNA". The stretch from base 1 to 122 matches the Rfam family "5.8S ribosomal RNA", at positions 35 to 154 of the family's 154-position model. The record is from RNAcentral.